GACGAACCGUCCAAACGUUAUUCGGAAUCACUGGGCUUAAAGGGUGCGUAGGCGGCGCGACAAGUUGGGUGUGAAAUACCUCGGCUCAACCGAGGAACUGCGCCCAAAACUGUCGUGCUCGAGGGAGAUAGAGGUGAGCGGAACUUAGGGUGGAGCGGUGAAAUGCGUUGAUAUCCUAAGGAACACCGGUGGCGAAAGCGGCUCACUGGAUCUCUUCUGACGCUGAGGCACGAAAGCUAGGGUAGCGAACGGG
Molecule: ribosomal RNA, 253 nt
Filed under: uncultured bacterium
Lineage: Bacteria
Description: partial 16S ribosomal RNA
Rfam family: Bacterial small subunit ribosomal RNA
Source: RNAcentral